This 497-nucleotide ribosomal RNA is filed under the name uncultured bacterium. RNAcentral's name for it is "partial 16S ribosomal RNA". It matches the Rfam family "Bacterial small subunit ribosomal RNA", at positions 28 to 507 of the family's 1533-position model. The record is from RNAcentral.
GAUGAACGCUGGCGGCGUGCCUAAUACAUGCAAGUCGAGCGAACGGACGAGAAGCUUGCUUCUCUGAUGUUAGCGGCGGACGGGUGAGUAACAUGUGGAUAACCUACCUAUAAGACUGGGAUAACUUCGGGAAACCGGAGCUAAUACCGGAUAAUAUUUUGAACCGCAUGGUUCAAAAGUGAAAGACGGUCUUGCUGUCACUUAUAGAUGGAUCCGCGCUGCAUUAGCUAGUUGGUAAGGUAACGGCUUACCAAGGCAACGAUGCAUAGCCGACCUGAGAGGGUGAUCGGCCACACUGGAACUGAGACACGGUCCAGACUCCUACGGGAGGCAGCAGUAGGGAAUCUUCCGCAAUGGGCGAAAGCCUGACGGAGCAACGCCGCGUGAGUGAUGAAGGUCUUCGGAUCGUAAAACUCUGUUAUUAGGGAAGAACAUAUGUGUAAGUAACUGUGCACGUCUUGACGGUACCUAAUCAGAAAGCCACGGCUAACUACGUG